Molecule: ribosomal RNA, 474 nt
Filed under: uncultured bacterium
Lineage: Bacteria
Description: partial 16S ribosomal RNA
Rfam family: Bacterial small subunit ribosomal RNA
Source: RNAcentral
GACGAACGCUGGCGGCGUGCCUAAUACAUGCAAGUAGAACGCUGAAGGAGGAGCUUGCUCUUCUGGAUGAGUUGCGAACGGGUGAGUAACGCGUAGGUAACCUGCCUGGUAGCGGGGGAUAACUAUUGGAAACGAUAGCUAAUACCGCAUAAGAGUAGAUGGUGCAUGACAUUUACGUAAAAGGUGCAAUUGCAUCGCUAUCGGAUGGACCUGCGGUGUAUUAGCUAGUUGGUGGGGUAACGGCUUACCAAGGCGACGACGGAUAGCCGGCCUGAGAGGGUGACCGGCCCCACUGGGACUGAGAUACGGCCCAGACUGCUACGGGGGGCAGAGGCGGGGAAUAUUGCACGAUGGGCGCCAGCCGGAUGCAGCGACGCCGCGUGAGGGAUGACGGCCUUCGGGUUGUAAACCUCUUUCAAUAGGGACGAAGCGCAAGUGACGGUACCUAUAGAAGAAGCACCGGCCAACUACGUG